RNAcentral lists this ribosomal RNA (320 nucleotides) under uncultured eukaryote. RNAcentral's name for it is "partial 18S ribosomal RNA". It matches the Rfam family "Eukaryotic small subunit ribosomal RNA", at positions 1470 to 1796 of the family's 1831-position model. The record is from RNAcentral.
CCCCUAGAUGUUCUGGGCCGCACGCGCGCUACACUGAACAGUUCAACAAGUCUUAACCUUGGCCGAUAGGUCUGGGUAAUCUUUGAACGCUGUUCGUGCUUGGGAUAGACCUUUGCAAUUAUGGGUCUUCAACGAGGAAUUCCUAGUAAACGCAAGUCAUCAGCUUGCAUUGAUUACGUCCCUGCCCUUUGUACACACCGCCCGUCGCACCUACCGAUUGAAUGGUCCGGUGAAAUCUCGGGACGGCGGCUCGGUCGCUUGCGUCCGACUGCUGAAACUUGAUUAAACCAUAUCAUUUAGAGGAAGGUGAAGUCGUAACA